This 494-nucleotide ribosomal RNA is filed under the name uncultured bacterium. RNAcentral's name for it is "partial 16S ribosomal RNA". It matches the Rfam family "Bacterial small subunit ribosomal RNA", at positions 28 to 507 of the family's 1533-position model. The record is from RNAcentral.
GACGAACGCUGGCGGCGUGCUUAACACAUGCAAGUCGAACGGAAAGGCCUGUCCUUCCUUGUGUUGGACGGGUACUCGAGUGGCGAACGGGUGAGUAACACGUGAGUGAUCUGCCCCCAACUUGGGUAUAAGCCUGGGAAACUGGGUCUAAUUCCCGAUAGGACUGCAGGGUGGUGCCUGUGGUGGAAAACGAUUUUCUAGUGGUUGGGGAUGAGCUCGCGGCCUACCAGCUUGUUGGUGGGGUAAUGGCCUACCAAGGCGGCGACGGGUAGCCGGCCUGAGAGGGUGGACGGCCACAUUGGGACUGGGAUACGGCCCAGACUCCUACGGGAGGCAGCAGUGGGGAAUAUGGCACAAUGGGCGGAAGCCUGAUGCAGCGACGCCGCGUGGGGGAUGACGGCCUUCGGGUUGUAAACUCCUUUCGACCGCGAGGAAGCCGCCUGGUUGGAAGGGUGGUGACGGUAGUGGUAGAAGAAGCACCGGCUAACUACGUG